This 537-nucleotide ribosomal RNA is filed under the name uncultured bacterium. RNAcentral's name for it is "partial 16S ribosomal RNA". It matches the Rfam family "Bacterial small subunit ribosomal RNA", at positions 355 to 883 of the family's 1533-position model. The record is from RNAcentral.
UGGGGAAUUUUGGACAAUGGGCGAAAGCCUGAUCCAGCAAUGCCGCGUGUGUGAAGAAGGCCUUCGGGUUGUAAAGCACUUUUGUCCGGAAAGAAAUCCUUGGCUCUAAUACAGUCGGGGGAUGACGGUACCGGAAGAAUAAGCACCGGCUAACUACGUGCCAGCAGCCGCGGUAAUACGUAGGGUGCAAGCGUUAAUCGGAAUUACUGGGCGUAAAGCGUGCGCAGGCGGUUUGCUAAGACCGAUGUGAAAUCCCCGGGCUCAACCUGGGAACUGCAUUGGUGACUGGCAGGCUAGAGUAUGGCAGAGGGGGGUAGAAUUCCACGUGUAGCAGUGAAAUGCGUAGAGAUGUGAGGAAUACCGAUGGCGAAGGCAGCCCCCUGGGCCAAUACUGACGCUCAUGCACGAAAGCGUGGGGGAGCAAAACAGGAUUAGAUACCCCUGGUAGUCCACGCCCUAAACGAUGUCAACUAGUUGUUGGGGAUUCAUUUCCUUAGUAACGUAGCUAACGCGUGAAGUUGACCGCCUGGGGAGUAC